This is a long non-coding RNA of Pipistrellus kuhlii (Kuhl's pipistrelle), 99 nucleotides long. RefSeq lists it as uncharacterized. The transcript has 3 exons. The record is from RefSeq and is a predicted model, not a curated record. NCBI's taxonomy places the organism in Eukaryota, Metazoa, Chordata, Mammalia, Chiroptera, Vespertilionidae.
UUUUUCUGAUCUGACAAAAAAAAGAAUACGUAUAAUUUCGAUUCAUUCACACUGGCCAGCUAUUGUGUUGGCUGUUGUCAUUUAUUUAUUUGGCAAUCC